RNAcentral lists this Y RNA (101 nucleotides) under Propithecus coquereli (Coquerel's sifaka). RNAcentral describes it as "Y RNA (ENSPCOG00000006383.1)". It matches the Rfam family "Y RNA". Rfam says of the family: Y RNAs are components of the Ro ribonucleoprotein particle (Ro RNP), in association with Ro60 and La proteins. The Y RNAs and Ro60 and La proteins are well conserved, but the function of the Ro RNP is not known. The record is from Rfam by way of RNAcentral. Lineage: Eukaryota; Metazoa; Chordata; Mammalia; Primates; Indriidae.
GGUUGGUCCGAGUGCAGUGGUAUUUACAACUAAAUGAUCGUAACCGUUCACAGAUUCCUUCGUUACUUCUCCCUCCCACUGCUUCACUUGAGCAGCCUUGA